UGCCUGCAUGUGGACAACAUUUAACAUUUUAAAAUGUGGCUUCUUGUAUCAAAGUUAAACUAAAUAUGUUUCUCGCAGCACGAAAAUACUUUAUUGUUUAUGUAACAGGGAAAGUGCACAGUUUUUUAAUGCAUUAGAUGAAAACUCAUUUUUGAAGCAUUGACAUGUAUGACAUUAAAGUAAAUAUCUUUUGUCAAUUCUCAGACAUUUUAUAAACAAAACAAUCUAUUAAUUACACAAACAGCUGACAGAGGCUCACUGAUCCAUAUGUACUGGAAGAUGAAGGAUGUCUCCUGCAGCCCUAUUUAGUAGUUGCUGGUGAGGAUGCGCAAUUGAACACAACACGGUUUAAACUUCCUCACGUCUUUACUGUAACUACAAUAUUUACUCUUGUAUUCACAUUUACAUUUGCUAAGUUGGCCUCUGACUGUACAAACUUUGAUUUAUUAUUGAAACACUGCAGCAAGAGGAAGCUAAUUGAUAUAAAUGUUAACUUUACAGUGUUAAUAUUGGAGAUACACAAAAAGAAAACAUUUAAUUUAGAAUAUAUGAUUAUGGAUUCUGGAUUACAGAUAUUUUAUAAUUCAGCAGACUUUAAAGGGGGAAGAAAAUAUUAAUUUGCACAAUUCAGGCAGAGGACACAGUAUUAGGACGCAGCAGAGGAAGCAGGUCAGUGUAAAGGACACUUAAACCGUUUCAUAUUGGAACGGAUCCCGGCCGAGACUGUGUUUGUAAACUCCCGACACACGUGAUGCUGCUAAGCUAGCCCACCUGCUAGCUCUCCGGAGCUGUAAAGGUUGAGUUUCUGAGGUGCACUUGAAUGCAUCAGAUGCUGAUUCGGAAAAGGAGGGAAAUGGCAGCAUGAGGGAAACAAGGCUCCACAGCGCCACAGCGGCCAUUUAGGGUCUUUGUCGUGGAGGUUCUGCAGUGGGUCGAUGAAGUUCUGUUUGACCUCCAUGUCCAGAGCGUCCUUCACCUCCCCGAGCUCCUUCAUUGACUCGCCGGCAUCGAUCAGAGCCAUGCCUGGGAAGGGAAGGGAUGAUGGGAAAACAGAGAGAGUGGAAGGACGGUGAGAAGUGAAAGAGAUCGCAAUCUGGUCGAGCAUCUGUGGACUAGGAACAAACCUGAUCCAGGGAGACCCAACCCUGCAACCCACAGGACCCAAAGGAUCCACUGCCAAUGUGCUGACACUACAGGACACCCGAUGGGUCAGAUCUAAUUUGGCAACACAAGGGGGACCUACUCAAUACAAGGCAGGUGGUUUUACUGAUAGCGAUAGCUGCUUUCUUUCAGUCUCUGUUGUGUUUUGAAAGCUUCACAACAGCGAGUUUGAUGUCAGAUACAGAAACCAAUGGUCACUUCUGUGAUCUAAAUGUACCAACAGACAGACAGACGUCAUUUGGAAACAAAGCAGUGACAUCAAACUUAAUUUCAUACAGGUUGGUUAAAAAAGGUGCCAAACGAGUCUUCUCCAGACCUCAAGGACCAUAUCGAGACAUUACUUCUACAUUCACUUCUGGAGAGAAUGAAUGGAUCUACCAUGAUACCCUUUUGGUUUAUAUAUGUGCACAUGUUGCUUUCGCAACCUUGGAUACGUCUUUCUCCUGCUCAGUUCGUCAUCGUGAUCAGAGGAAGUGCCGCAGAGUGACACCUCCCGCUUUCUAAUCGCCUCAGGUUGCAGGGACAGAGGAGGGAGGAGGAGAGUGGGAUUUUCCACAAUCGUGACUCACAUCAGUUGCCCACGCAUUAGUGGACCACACACUCUCUCACACACACCGGUAAACAUGCAGUACCAACAGAAAAGUACAGCUCUCAAAAUACACUCAGAUUCAUGGGAAAAGUCCACUUUGGUGCAAGUGCAUGAAUAAUUAAACAAAUACUGCAGCCACUGCUAAAAAUAAUAAUGUUUAAUUUUAGUUAUUUGUAAUGGAGUAUUUUUACGUUAAUAUAUUGGUACUUUUACUUAGGUAAAGGAUGUGAAUCCUUCUUCCACCACUGCCAGCAAGCUCAUUAUGCAAACACUCAAAUCAAAAUGACAUGUUGACUCAACAGCUAAUGAUGUGUGUGUGUGUGUGUGUGGUGUGUGUGUGUGUGUGUCAGGCAGAUGUCACACAUCUACAUCAAACUAACAAACCAUGCAAACAUAAAGGUAAAUAUGUGUGUUUAUGUAACUGCUUAUACACCUGAGCACCAGUGUGUGUUACUGACAUGUCGAUGGACGAUUGUGAGAAGACAAAAAAAGGUGUGUAAUAAACAUAGACAGAUUUAGAGCCAACAGGUAAAAGGCCCCCGACACCCAGACCGUUUUUUGUUUUUUUGUGGUCAUUUAAUGUCUCUUUAUGGUCAUUUUGAGUCUCUAUGUUCAUUUUCUGUCUGUUCAAAGAGUUAUUUGACUUUCAAACAAGAAAUACGAACGUCAUCACAACAUGAGACUGUUCUCCUAUAAAAAAUGACUAUUAUAAUGACCCACAGUAACGUCUUCUUGCUAAGCGACAUCUAGUGUCCAUAGUAAUUAUGACAUCUAUUAAGUAGAUGACAGUUAUUGUUGUUUCUUUGGCAACUUUAGCCAAAACCAUGAUCUUUUCCUAAACCUACCCAGGUUUGUUUUUAUGCCCAAACCUAAACAGAUAUUGUUCAAUAACGUUAACCGCAUGUUUAUCAGUGUUACCAUGACGAUGAAGCUGCUAGACGCCUGGCAUGUUGCCUCACUGGAAUACAUCUUGUCACCAGUAGGGGCGGCACUUCUAAACGGUCUUCUUAGUCGUAUUUAAGUGUAGAAACAAAUGACCGGUAUGGUUGUAUGAGUUGGAGGACUUGUUUCACAACAUCAACAACAAUCAUAUUGUACAGGUCCAGGGGUCCCAGGUGGUCUGGAGGCCCCUGGACCUGUGCUCAUUAAUCCACCUGUGAUUAGAAAAUGUAAAAACAAUACAAAACGAUAGCAGGAAAUAAAGUGAGAAGGACAGACAGAUGAGGAGGAAGAUGCAGUUGCCAUAGAGACAGGGAUCUGACUGGGUCCUCUCGUGUUUCCAGGAACACACACACAUACACACACACACACACAGUUGUCUGUAAGGAACACCGAGUCUGGUUGCAGAGAGGUGUACUGACACACUGUUACAUAACUGUCUCAGCAGUGAUAGUUUCUUCUACUGUUCCUCUCUUCCUCUGUCUCUACACACCGUAUCUGACUUCAAUUUAUUUCCGUUUGACCGGCUUUUAAUGGUCAGGAGCAGAGCACUGGUAUUUUAUUUAUUUCGUCUUUCAUCUUUUCACACCCUGAAAUGUCUGAUCUACAGUGGUGCUACAUAAACAAACCUCUACCACUUUAAAAAACUCAGUGAUCUUCGUUAUUUCUUAGUCGUCUCACACAACACUUCUCCUGCUCUGUUCAUGUCGACCUUUGAUUUCUGCGACAGCUUUGUUAAAUUUUGACUGCGCCUCCUGCUGGUCGCUGCCACGUAGUGAAAAUCAUUGUUUCAAGACACAACCUCGUUCAUACGAAUAUAUCGAUUAAAUUCCAUGUGAUCGACAAAA
Lates calcarifer (barramundi perch) is the source of this 3537-nucleotide long non-coding RNA. RefSeq lists it as uncharacterized. The transcript has 4 exons. The record is from RefSeq and is a predicted model, not a curated record. Lineage: Eukaryota; Metazoa; Chordata; Actinopteri; Centropomidae.